UCUCCUGGAAACGGGUGGUAAUGCCGGAUGCUCCGACUCCUCGCAUGGGGUGUCGGGAAAGAUUUCAUCGGUAUGGGAUGGGGUCGCGUCCUAUCAGGUAGUCGGCGGGGUAACGGCCCACCGAGCCUACGACGGGUAGCCGGCCUGAGAGGGCGACCGGCCACAUUGGGACUGAGAUACGGCCCAGACUCCUACGGGAGGCAGCAGUGGGGAAUAUUGCACAAUGGGCGCAAGCCUGAUGCAGCGACGCCGCGUGCGGGAUGACGGCCUUCGGGUUGUAAACCGCUUUUGAUCGGGAGCAAGCCUUCGGGUGAGUGUACCUUUCGAAUAAGCACCGGCUAACUACGUGCCAGCAGCCGCGGUAAUACGUAGGGUGCAAGCGUUAUCCGGAAUUAUUGGGCGUAAAGGGCUCGUAGGCGGUUCGUCGCGUCCGGUGUGAAAGUCCAUCGCUUAACGGUGGAUCUGCGCCGGGUACGGGCGGGCUGGAGUGCGGUAGGGGAGACUGGAAUUCCCGGUGUAACGGUGGAAUGUGUAGAUAUCGGGAAGAACACC
This 552-nucleotide ribosomal RNA is filed under the name Bifidobacterium catenulatum. RNAcentral's name for it is "bacterial SSU rRNA". It matches the Rfam family "Bacterial small subunit ribosomal RNA", at positions 146 to 710 of the family's 1533-position model. Lineage: Bacteria; Bacillati; Actinomycetota; Actinomycetes; Bifidobacteriales; Bifidobacteriaceae. The record is from RNAcentral. RNAcentral also lists the same sequence under 1 other name.